CUCCGAGAACUGAAAGGCUUUUUGAAGUCUUCGGAUGGAUAGAAGAACCCCUGAUGCCGUCGAGCCAAGAAAAGUUUCUAAGUUUAGCUAAUGUUGCCCGUACCGUAAACCGACACAGGUGGGUGGGAUGAGUAUUCUAAGGCGCGUGGAAGAACUCUCUUUAAGGAACUCUGCAAAAUAGCACCGUAUCUUCGGUAUAAGGUGUGGUUAGCUUUGUAUUAGGAUUUACUCCGAAAGCAAGGAAACUUACAACAAAGAGUCCCUCCCGACUGUUUACCAAAAACACAGCACUCUGCUAACUCGUAAGAGGAUGUAUAGGGUGUGACGCCUGCCCGGUGCUCGAAGGUUAAUUGAUGGGGUUAGCAUUAGCGAAGCUCUUGAUCGAAGCCCGAGUAAACGGCGGCCGUAACUAUAACGGUCCUAAGGUAGCGAAAUUCCUUGUCGGUUAAAUACCGACCUGCAUGAAUGGCGUAACGAGAUGGGAGCUGUCUCAAAGAGGGAUCCAGUGAAAUUGUAGUGGAGGUGAAAAUUCCUCCUACCCGCGGCAAGACGGAAAGACCCCGUGGACCUUUACUACAGCUUGACACUGCUACUUGGAUAAGAAUGUGCAGGAUAGGUGGGAGGCUUUGAGUAUAUGACGCCAGUUGUAUAUGAGCCAUUGUUGAGAUACCACUCUUUCUUAUUUGGGUAGCUAACCAGCUUGAGUUAUCCUCAAGUGGGACAAUGUCUGGUGGGUAGUUUGACUGGGGCGGUCGCCUCCCAAAUAAUAACGGAGGCUUACAAAGGUUGGCUCAGAACGGUUGGAAAUCGUUCGUAGAGUAUAAAGGUAUAAGCCAGCUUAACUGCAAGACAUACAAGUCAAGCAGAGACGAAAGUCGGUCUUAGUGAUCCGGUGGUUCUGUGUGGAAGGGCCAUCGCUCAAAGGAUAAAAGGUACCCCGGGGAUAACAGGCUGAUCUCCCCCAAGAGCUCACAUCGACGGGGAGGUUUGGCACCUCGAUGUCGGCUCAUCGCAUCCUGGGGCUGGAGCAGGUCCCAAGGGUAUGGCUGUUCGCCAUUUAAAGCGGUACGCGAGCUGGGUUCAGAACGUCGUGAGACAGUUCGGUCCCUAUCUGCCGUGGGCGUAAGAAGAUUGAAGAGAUUUGACCCUAGUACGAGAGGACCGGGUUGAACAAACCACUGGUGUAGCUGUUGUUCUGCCAAGAGCAUCGCAGCGUAGCUAAGUUUGGAAAGGAUAAACGCUGAAAGCAUCUAAGCGUGAAGCCAACUCUAAGAUGAAUCUUCUCUAAGCUCUCUAGAAGACUACUAGUUUGAUAGGCUGGGUGUGUAAUGGAUGAAAGUCCUUUAGCUGACCAGUACUAAUAGAGCGUUUGGCUUAUCUUU
This 1382-nucleotide ribosomal RNA is filed under the name Campylobacter jejuni. Its description in RNAcentral is "partial 23S ribosomal RNA". It matches the Rfam family "Bacterial large subunit ribosomal RNA", at positions 1545 to 2925 of the family's 2925-position model. The record is from RNAcentral. Lineage: Bacteria; Pseudomonadati; Campylobacterota; Epsilonproteobacteria; Campylobacterales; Campylobacteraceae.